AACGAAACUUUGCAACGAUAGACCUCGGAAAUCUCUGCAAGCAAAGUAUGGAUUGAUAGACUGUUCGAUUUCUGUAACUUUAUCUCAGAAUAUGGGCGUCUUCCGUGCUGCUUGCUGGAGAACUCUGUUCUCUCCCUGCCGAGGGGGUAUCGUUGCGUGCGGGAGGCGACCAUAUUUUUUGUUCCUUUCCUGUAUUGGAUCAUUGCUUUA
Molecule: non-coding RNA, 210 nt
Filed under: Pedobacter sp. BAL39
Lineage: Bacteria; Pseudomonadati; Bacteroidota; Sphingobacteriia; Sphingobacteriales; Sphingobacteriaceae
Description: Pedo-repair RNA
Rfam family: Pedo-repair RNA
Source: RNAcentral